Molecule: ribosomal RNA, 301 nt
Filed under: uncultured bacterium
Lineage: Bacteria
Description: partial 16S ribosomal RNA
Rfam family: Bacterial small subunit ribosomal RNA
Source: RNAcentral
CAGCAGCCGCGGGAAUACGUAGGGUGCGAGCGUUAAUCGGAAUUACUGGGCGUAAAGCGUGCGCAGGCGGUUCGUUAAGACAGAUGUGAAAUCCCCGGGCUUAACCUGGGAACUGCAUUUGUGACUGGCGAGCUAGAGUAUGGCAGAGGGGGGUAGAAUUCCACGUGUAGCAGUGAAAUGCGUAGAGAUGUGGAGGAAUACCGAUGGCGAAGGCAGCCCCCUGGGCCAAUACUGACGCUCAUGCACGAAAGCGUGGGGAGCAAACAGGAUUAGAUACCCCCGUAGUCCCUGUCUCUUAUAC